AGUGAACGCUGGCGGUAGGCCUAACACAUGCAAGUCGAACGGCAGCACAGAGGAGCUUGCUCCUUGGGUGGCGAGUGGCGGACGGGUGAGGAAUACAUCGGAAUCUACUCUGUCGUGGGGGAUAACGUAGGGAAACUUACGCUAAUACCGCAUACGACCUACGGGUGAAAGCAGGGGAUCUUCGGACCUUGCGCGAUUGAAUGAGCCGAUGUCGGAUUAGCUAGUUGGCGGGGUAAAGGCCCACCAAGGCGACGAUCCGUAGCUGGUCUGAGAGGAUGGUCAGCCAGACUGGAACUGAGACACGGUCCAGACUCCUACGGGAGGCAGCAGUGGGGAAUAUUGGACAAUGGGCGCAAGCCUGAUCCAGCCAUACCGCGUGGGUGAAGAAGGCCUUCGGGUUGUAAAGCCCUUUUGUUGGGAAAGAAAUCCAUCUGGUUAAUACCCGGGUGGGAUGACGGUACCCAGAGAAUAAGCACCGGCUAACUUCGUGCCAGCAGCCGCCGUAA
RNAcentral lists this ribosomal RNA (506 nucleotides) under uncultured bacterium. RNAcentral describes it as "partial 16S ribosomal RNA". It matches the Rfam family "Bacterial small subunit ribosomal RNA", at positions 29 to 523 of the family's 1533-position model. The record is from RNAcentral.